This 468-nucleotide ribosomal RNA is filed under the name uncultured bacterium. RNAcentral's name for it is "partial 16S ribosomal RNA". It matches the Rfam family "Bacterial small subunit ribosomal RNA", at positions 28 to 507 of the family's 1533-position model. The record is from RNAcentral.
GACGAACGCUGGCGGCGUGCUUAACACAUGCAAGUCGAACGGAAAGGCCCUGCUCUUGCUGGGUGCUCGAGUGGCGAACGGGUGAGUAACACGUGAGUAACCUGUCCUUGUCUUUGGGAUAACUUUAGGAAACUGCGGCUAAUACCGGAGAGGAUCUCCUGAAGCACGGUGGGGAUUGGAAAGUUUCGGCGGUUGUGGCUGGACUCGCGGGUUAUCAGCUGGAUGGUGGGGUAGGCGCUUACCAAGGCUUCGACGGGUAGGCGGCCUGGGAGCUGGACCGGGCACCAGGCGACUAAGGUACGGACCAGACGCCAACGUUACGCAGCAGGCGAGAACCUUACGCAACGAGCCGAAGCCAGUUGCGACGACGCCCGGUGCGGAAUGCCGGCCUACGGGUUAUAAACCACUGUCGCAUGAAACGAGGCCUGAGUGACGGUAAUUGGUAAGAAAGCAACGGCUAACUACGUG